UUCCCUGCGUAGUGCGUGUAGACUGGAAUUUUAGAACCAACAAUAGAUUAAAGGGAGUCCGCCUUUGGAUGUGGCGUGUAAGCUUACAUUUUAACAAUAGUAAGAAACCCAGAAGCAUUCAACAAGACACCCACCUGUGAAAACAGGCUCUUAAAAUUUCAUUCAUCUUACGGCUAAUGUGGGGUUU
Molecule: non-coding RNA, 187 nt
Filed under: chicken gut metagenome
Description: 6S / SsrS RNA
Rfam family: 6S / SsrS RNA
About the family: E. coli 6S RNA was the first non coding RNA to be sequenced, but its function was unknown until recently. It consists of 184 nucleotides that fold into an extended hairpin structure with a large single-stranded internal bulge.
Source: RNAcentral